RNAcentral lists this ribosomal RNA (587 nucleotides) under Burkholderia sp. HRRP129. RNAcentral's name for it is "bacterial SSU rRNA". It matches the Rfam family "Bacterial small subunit ribosomal RNA", at positions 102 to 683 of the family's 1533-position model. Lineage: Bacteria; Pseudomonadati; Pseudomonadota; Betaproteobacteria; Burkholderiales; Burkholderiaceae. The record is from RNAcentral.
ACGGGUGAGUAAUACAUCGGAACGUGUCCUGUAGUGGGGGAUAGCCCGGCGAAAGCCGGAUUAAUACCGCAUACGCUCUGCGGAGGAAAGCGGGGGAUCCUUCGGGACCUCGCGCUACAGGGGCGGCCGAUGGCAGAUUAGCUAGUUGGUGGGGUAAAGGCCUACCAAGGCGACGAUCUGUAGCUGGUCUGAGAGGACGACCAGCCACACUGGGACUGAGACACGGCCCAGACUCCUACGGGAGGCAGCAGUGGGGAAUUUUGGACAAUGGGCGCAAGCCUGAUCCAGCAAUGCCGCGUGUGUGAAGAAGGCCUUCGGGUUGUAAAGCACUUUUGUCCGGAAAGAAAACCUCGUGGUUAAUACCCGUGGGGGAUGACGGUACCGGAAGAAUAAGCACCGGCUAACUACGUGCCAGCAGCCGCGGUAAUACGUAGGGUGCAAGCGUUAAUCGGAAUUACUGGGCGUAAAGCGUGCGCAGGCGGUUCGCUAAGACAGAUGUGAAAUCCCCGGGCUUAACCUGGGAACUGCAUUUGUGACUGGCGGGCUAGAGUAUGGCAGAGGGGGGUAGAAUUCCACGUGUAGCAGUG